Molecule: ribosomal RNA, 253 nt
Filed under: uncultured bacterium
Lineage: Bacteria
Description: partial 16S ribosomal RNA
Rfam family: Bacterial small subunit ribosomal RNA
Source: RNAcentral
UACGUAGGGUGCGAGCGUUGUCCGGAAUUAUUGGGCGUAAAGGGCUCGUAGGCGGUUUGUCGCGUCGGGAGUGAAAACCAUGGGCUUAACUCAUGGCUUGCUUCCGAUACGGGCAGACUAGAGGUAUGCAGGGGAGAACGGAAUUCCUGGUGUAGCGGUGAAAUGCGCAGAUAUCAGGAGGAACACCAGCGGCGAAGGCGGCGCUCUGGGCCGGAACUGACGCUGAGGAGCGAAAGCGUGGGGAGCGAACAGG